GAGAUACACCUGUACCCAUGCCGAACACAGAAGUUAAGCCCUAGAACGCCGGAAGUAGUUGGGGGUUGCCCCCUGUGAGAUAGGGAAGUCGCUUAGCU
Molecule: ribosomal RNA, 98 nt
Filed under: Streptococcus pneumoniae
Lineage: Bacteria; Bacillati; Bacillota; Bacilli; Lactobacillales; Streptococcaceae
Source: RNAcentral